AGUUAUUUUGUCCACUGGGGAAGGGGUCCUCUUCCUACCUAGUGCUUUUCUCUCUUUCUUUCUUUAGGUUUAGAGAGAUAGAGAGAGAGAGAGUGAGAGGACUAGAGGAGUUUAGGAGGAGAAGGAGAUCGGAGGGUUUUGGUGGGUGGGAGUUGGGGGCAGCAGCAGGGAGAGGCGAGAAGAGAGUGGAAUCGGAGGAGGGGAGGCCGUUCGUCGGGGGAUAUCUUGGGACACGAUGGAGAAGCGGCUCAAGGAGUAUUUCGGCAAGUACGGCGAGGUCCUGCAGACGGUGAUCAUGAGGGACAAGGUGACGGGUCGCCCCCGGGGAUUCGGCUUCGUCGUCUUCGCCAACCCCUCCCUCCUCGAUCGCGUCCUCCAGGACAAGCACAGCAUCGACGGCCGCACCGUCUUUUGUGGGAUACUUCCGCUUUCUUUAUAUAUUUCUAUAUAUAAAGAAUAUAUAAAGACGCACAGAGAGAGAUAUGCACAUUUGUCUGGAAUAAUAGCAUCUCGGAAUCUUUUCUUGGGAUUUGGAUGGGAUUCCCCGUUUCAGGGUUUCGAGUUCUUGCUAGUCGUUUGAAUCUUAGAUGUAAACUUUGUUGCACCGGCAUUUGUGGCUUUCUUGUGAGACAGUUGGGACAUCAACGGUAAUAGAGAGACUAUUUAUAAAGGUUCGAAUAAAAUGUUCGGUAGGGAAAAUGCCAAUCAUAGUAGUAAUUGUGAUAUUUGUCAAUGGCAUAAUUUUUUUUUCCCUUUGGUAUUUUACCUUCUUUAUGGGUGAUGCAGCUCUCUCAUAGUGCUCUCACUCUUCACCAAUCACUGAAGCUUUCAAUAGAUUCUGGUGUUUACUCGGGGCCAGGAUAACCGCAAUCAUUGGUUCUUUAUCUCACAAACUUUAUUUUCUUCCUACACAAUGCUAGCUGGAUUUUGCAUGUUCACCUUGAAUCAUGUGAGUAGUGAAGAGAUUGCGUAUGAUGACUAAUGGUGUGAGUGAACUAAUAAAUCUCAUCUAUAAUACCUCAUUUUGGAUUACAAUUCCUUUGCUUUUAUCCUGAGAUUGAAUUAAUCUUUUUAAAUAUCCAGUAGAAUCAGAUAAACUGAGUUGUAGUGAUUUGAAACUUGUCUGACAAACAAGUCUAUUAUGGUUGAAAGCCUUGAUGCCUCAUCAUUUUUUUGAUGCCAUCCUUUCCAGUUUUGGUUCUGAAAUGGCCACCACAGUUACAUGCUAGAUACAAGGAUUUGCCAAUUAUAUAUGGUUGUGUGUGUGUGUUGUUUUUUUUUUCUUUUUUACCUUUUUCUUGGUUGGAUUGGUAAAAAGAUGCUUUACAUCCUAGGGGUUACUGCACCGAUACAAGUAUCAUUUGGAAAUUUUUGAUGCUUUUGACUGAAUAUGAUAUUAUUAGCAACGUAAUAUCAAGCAUGAAUUUGUAGAGGAAUGUUUAGGAGAAGCUUUCAUGGUUCAUGCAGUGCUCCUUCCCAACAUUACAUUUUGCUGAGAAGGACCUGCCAUGGGCAUUGGUUUGAUCUUUCUCUUGCAGAAAUUGUGAGGGUGUCAUCUGCACUCACCAAUGUGUCUUUUUGGGAGAGGCAUUGACUAGAACUGUGAAGGAUGUGGAACGGUUAACGGAGAGGUAGUGGUGAAAGUUCUUUCGCCCAACUUUUACCAGCUGAGGAGAAACUUGAUCUUUUUCUGCAGGCCACGUGCAAAUGAUUGUAAAUUGAUGGCACUAUUGGUGGCUCAGCAAAUCUGUUACCUUCCUCGUAGUUGGGGCAGCUGUUGGGGGAUGCUAAGUACCCAAGGCUUUGAAAGAAUUUUCAUGCAAGUCUGUGUAGAUGAACUUUGGCCGGUCAAGAAUUCUCACUUAUGCAAUAAGGUGCUUGCACUCACUGAUUUCAGAUUGACAGGUAAUUAUAUCCCGAAAUAAGGUCUCGUUUGGCAUUAUUGUAACGGUUGAACUUUUGUCUGUGGGACUUUUGCUAGUAGAAUUUUAAUAAAAAAUUAUUUAUUAU
This is a non-coding RNA of Elaeis guineensis (African oil palm), 2010 nucleotides long. The record is from RefSeq and is a predicted model, not a curated record. Lineage: Eukaryota; Viridiplantae; Streptophyta; Magnoliopsida; Arecales; Arecaceae.